RNAcentral lists this ribosomal RNA (174 nucleotides) under Pediococcus pentosaceus. RNAcentral's name for it is "partial 16S ribosomal RNA". It matches the Rfam family "Bacterial small subunit ribosomal RNA", at positions 72 to 241 of the family's 1533-position model. Lineage: Bacteria; Bacillati; Bacillota; Bacilli; Lactobacillales; Lactobacillaceae. The record is from RNAcentral.
UUGAGAUUUUAACACGAAGUGAGUGGCGAACGGGUGAGUAACACGUGGGUAACCUGCCCAGAAGUAGGGGAUAACACCUGGAAACAGAUGCUAAUACCGUAUAACAGAGAAAACCGCAUGGUUUUCUUUUAAAAGAUGGCUCUGCUAUCACUUCUGGAUGGACCCGCGGCGUAU